GAUGAAGAACGUAGCGAAAUGCGAUAAGUAAUGUGAAUUGCAGAAUUCAGUGAAUCAUCGAAUCUUUGAACGCACAUUGCGCCCGUCAGUAUUCUGGCGGGCAUGCCUGUUCGAGCGUCAUUACGCCCCUCAAGUCCCCUGUGGACUUGGUGUUGGGGAUCGGCGAGGCUGGUUUUCCAGCACAGCCGUCCCUUAAAUUAAUUGGCGGUCUCGCCGUGGCCCUCCUCUGCGCAGUAGUAAAACACUCGCAACAGGAGCCCGGCGCGGUCCACUACCGUAAAACCCCCCAACUUUUUAUAGUUGACCUCGAAUCAGGUAGGACUACCCGCUGAACUUAAGCAUAUCAAUAAGCGGAGGA
Molecule: unclassified non-coding RNA, 358 nt
Filed under: soil metagenome
Description: partial contains 5.8S ribosomal RNA, internal transcribed spacer 2, and large subunit ribosomal RNA
Rfam family: 5.8S ribosomal RNA (bases 1-120)
Source: RNAcentral